Molecule: ribosomal RNA, 253 nt
Filed under: uncultured bacterium
Lineage: Bacteria
Description: partial 16S ribosomal RNA
Rfam family: Bacterial small subunit ribosomal RNA
Source: RNAcentral
UACGGAGGGUGCAAGCGUUAUCCGGAUUUACUGGGUUUAAAGGGUGCGUAGGCGGCUUUUUAAGUCAGUGGUGAAAGCCUAGUGCUUAACACUAGAACGGCCAUUGAUACUGAGAAGCUUGAGUCAAGGAGAGGUAAGCAGAAUUUAUGGUGUAGCAGUGAAAUGCUUAGAUACCAUAAGGAAUACCAAUAGCGAAGGCAGCUUACUGGCCUUGAACUGACGCUGAGGCACGAAAGCGUGGGGAGCAAACAGG